GGAAUGUUGGGACACAUGUCGUGCAAAUGUAUCGUCAUGUACGGCAUUGUUUUUUUUUUAACCCUUCCUUUUCCUUUGUUCCCGCUUCACGCCAUUCCUGUAUUCCUCCAUUUUUGCACGCAAGUUCAUCAUCCCCACAGCCAUAACUUUGCUUCCUGUCCUGUCGUCAUGUACGGAAUUGUUUUUUCUCCCAUUCCCACAACGAUAACUUCGCUUCCUCUCUCUUUCUCUUGUGAUUUCUCCAUUUUCUCUCUCUCUUUCUUCCAAAGAGUUAAUUAGAAACUUAUUGUACCUAUAAACUUUCAUCUUGAUUGGCAAUAUGUGUGCUUCGACUUGGUUUCAAAAAACCUAUUACUAAUCCCGACAUUUAAGAAGGGAUUUAAUUUUCACGGCAUCACUCUUUCUAACUUUAGUUGUUAUUGUAUUGGAAAUGAAAUUAGGGGCGAACGAAAAUAAUGAUGGAGAAGAAAGUUUGUCUGCAAGAAAUGAGGUUGCUUGGAGAAAGAGUGGUUGCGUGCAAGAAGGAAUGGGGAGUUUAAAAAAAAUAAAAAAUAAAUAUAUGGCUCCGUGCGUUGUGCACGGAGCAGUUGCUUUGCUCUGUGCACAAUGCACGGAGCAACAUGCGAGCACAGAGCUAUACAUUUGAAUUUUUUUUUUCGUAACAAAAAAUGACUAUCUUUUUCUUUUUUUUUCUUUUUCCGUUCUAUCUUUUUCUUUUUUCCCUUUUUUUUUCCCAUUGUUGUUGGUAAAAAAAAAUAACAGAGACAUUCAUCGCCGUUCUUCUCUUAUUUUCUCUGUCUAACAAUUUUCUGUAAACUCUCUCACUACAUCAUAAACAGUAUCAUCAAAAUUGGCAGCUUCAUUUGCCGAUUUUAAGCUCCCAUAUCUUCUGCAACUUCUAUACAAUGAGAUGCAACAAGAACUGCUGCAGAUGCAAUUCCUGUACGUUUCUUAUUUUGGGCGGUUGCUUUUUCUGGAAAGGUCAUUUAUGAGGCUGCAAGGGCUGUGAAUAUUUGUAAACCCGUUAGUUGAAAAGGUGAGUUUUAAGGUUUUGGAAACAUACACACAAAGGAUCUAACUUCUUUUUAUAAUUUUUAUCUUGAUCCAUGUCUUAAUCUUCUUAUUCAUGUUCUGUCGCAUUUAUGCUACAAAGUCUACAGGCUC
This is a long non-coding RNA of Olea europaea var. sylvestris, 1164 nucleotides long. RefSeq lists it as uncharacterized. The record is from RefSeq and is a predicted model, not a curated record. The transcript has 3 exons. NCBI's taxonomy places the organism in Eukaryota, Viridiplantae, Streptophyta, Magnoliopsida, Lamiales, Oleaceae.